RNAcentral lists this ribosomal RNA (520 nucleotides) under uncultured Glomus. RNAcentral's name for it is "SSU rRNA". It matches the Rfam family "Eukaryotic small subunit ribosomal RNA", at positions 569 to 1090 of the family's 1831-position model. Lineage: Eukaryota; Fungi; Glomeromycota; Glomeromycetes; Glomerales; Glomeraceae. The record is from RNAcentral.
AGCAGCCGCGGUAAUUCCAGCUCCAAUAGCGUAUAUUAAAGUUGUUGCAGUUAAAAAGCUCGUAGUUGAAUUUCGAGAUCGGCUUACUGGUCGUGCUUUUGUACGUACUGGUAAAUCGGUUUCUCCUUUCUGAUGAACUUUAAUGCCAUUAAUUUGGUGUUUUUAGGGAAUCAGGACUGUUACUUUGAAAAAAUUAGAGUGUUUAAAGCAGGCUCACGCUUGAAUACAUUAGCAUGGAAUAACGGAAUAGGACGUUUGAUUCUAUUUUGUUGGUUUCUAGGAUCGACGUAAUGAUUAAUAGGGAUAGUUGGGGGCAUUAGUAUUCAAUUGUCAGAGGUGAAAUUCUUGGAUUUAUUGAAGACUAACUACUGCGAAAGCAUUUGCCAAGGAUGUUUUCAUUAAUCAAGAACGAAAGUUAGGGGAUCGAAGACGAUCAGAUACCGUCGUAGUCUUAACCAUAAACUAUGCCGACUAGGGAUCGGAUGAUGUUAAUUUUUUUAAUGACUCAUUCGGCGCCUUA